GGUGAACGCUGGCGGUAGGCCUAACACAUGCAAGUCGAACGGCAGCACAGUAAGAGCUUGCUCUUACGGGUGGCGAGUGGCGGACGGGUGAGGAAUACAUCGGAAUCUACUUUUUCGUGGGGGAUAACGUAGGGAAACUUACGCUAAUACCGCAUACGACCUACGGGUGAAAGCAGGGGAUCUUCGGACCUUGCGCGAUUGAAUGAGCCGAUGUCGGAUUAGCUAGUUGGCGGGGUAAAGGCCCACCAAGGCGACGAUCCGUAGCUGGUCUGAGAGGAUGAUCAGCCACACUGGAACUGAGACACGGUCCAGACUCCUACGGGAGGCAGCAGUGGGGAAUAUUGGACAAUGGGCGCAAGCCUGAUCCAGCCAUACCGCGUGGGUGAAGAAGGCCUUCGGGUUGUAAAGCCCUUUUGUUGGGAAAGAAAUCCAGCCGGCUAAUACCUGGUUGGGAUGACGGUACCCAAAGAAUAAGCACCGGCUAACUUCGUG
RNAcentral lists this ribosomal RNA (492 nucleotides) under uncultured bacterium. RNAcentral describes it as "partial 16S ribosomal RNA". It matches the Rfam family "Bacterial small subunit ribosomal RNA", at positions 28 to 507 of the family's 1533-position model. The record is from RNAcentral.